This 1434-nucleotide unclassified non-coding RNA is filed under the name Hevea brasiliensis (rubber tree). Lineage: Eukaryota; Viridiplantae; Streptophyta; Magnoliopsida; Malpighiales; Euphorbiaceae. The record is from RNAcentral.
CUGAGCAGUUACCUUACAGUGCAUGAAUAAGUGUUUGUUAGUCUCGAGAGCUUCUCUACAAAGGAGACAUCUGGAUACUAUGUUGAUGCGCCUCUUCUGCAUUGUUACAUGAGUCAAACAUUUUUCUUAGCAACCAUCACCUUGGUAGGAGCCACACUUUUCCAUAUUGUGUUCCAAGGUCCAAUGGAUCUUCCUGCACUUCUUUUAUGUCCCCAGUUGUAUAAUCUAUUCACUGAAAAUACCCCAUCUUUAUGAUGUCCCCAUGCUAAUCUGUCUGGCUCUAGAGUAGUACCUGGGAAUCCACCAAUCAAAGCCCAAACACUCCACCAUUCCAUCAAUCUCCCAGUCAUUUAGCAGUCUUCUAAAUAUUAUAUUCCAACAUUGUGAAGACCACAUCUCCUCUAUCUUGCUGUUGGUAUUUGUGCAUAUUGAGAAAAGAAUAGGGAACAAGUCCCUCAAAAUUCCAUUUACACACCAAUCAUCUAGCCAGAACUUUGUUUUGUCUCCUCUGCCCACCACAAUUUUUGAAUUUUUUUUUAGACUCUCCCAAAGGUUUCUGAUGGUCCUCCACACCCCACCCCAUAAGUUUCACUUACUUCACUAGUGCACCAGAAGUCCUCUUGCCCAUAUUUGUGGUUUAUUAUCUCUUUCCAUAGAGCCUGCUCCUCCUGAUUGUAUUUCCACAGCCAUUUUGAGAGAAGGCUCAUGUUAUGAACUUUUAAAUUUCUCGCUCCCAGCCCCCCAUUUUCCUUGCUUUGUUACAGGGGUUCGGGAGUUGAUUCAGGUUGGUUGGGUUUAGAUGGUGCUGGUCCAUCUACAGGCAUCAGGUCAGCAGCGAGUUUGGGUCGGGUUCAGACAGUGAUGAGGCAUCUUGCAGCUGUUGGAGAAACGUAUGCACAAACUGCUCUGGAAGAUGCUGCCUGGAAUCUUUGGUCUAUGCGUGCCUCCCAGGCUGGUACUUCCAGUUCAGCAAUUCCUCCUGCAGGUUCUGCGAGGCACAUUGGAGGCGCUGGAGGGUUGCACUUGAGGACAACCUCACGUGCCACAAACAACAAUAUUCCAAACAUACACACAAUGGUUGAAACUGUUAGAGAAGUGUUGCCACACAUACCUGAUGAAAUAAUUUUUGAGGAUUUACAGAGAACACACUCGGUAACUGUUACUGUGAAUAAUCUUCUGCACAUGUGAUUACACAUACCUUUCUUUACGAUACUGUUGUGGUAUGUCUUUCACUGAGGCAGAUCAAAAUUGAAGCUCUGGUUGUGUACAGGAGUGAGGUUUCCAAAUAUGUUGGGGUGUCAAGCCUGUUACUGCAUAUUAUAUCUGAUAUAUAUAUAAGUUUCACUUUCUUGUACAUGUAAAUAACUUGGGGAACUUGUUGUGAGAGACAAAUGCUAUAAUAAUUCCUCUUUUCUUUUUGUCUUCCCGUGAAAU